UGUCAAAGUGCGUAAACGUCAAGUGAAUUGAUUAGACUUCUUGAUCGUUUCGGUUUUUCACGGCGGAAAGUUAGAGUUUAGGUUUAAUGGGUGCUUUAAUGAGUAGGCAGAAUGCGGCUAUCGAAGAAGCCGAUGUUGGAUCUAAUCACGCAUAUAAAUAUCCUCCGAAGUCAGGAAAUUACUUCGGAACCCAUUUCAUAAUGGGCGGGGAACGUUUCGAUACACCUCAGCCUGAGGCGUAUCUAUUUGGUGAGAAUGCCGAUUUGAAUUUUUUAGGCAGUCGCCCGACUGCGUUCCCAUAUCCUCCGCCUCAAGCUAACGAACCAACAAAAACUUUAAAAAGUUUAGUGAACAUUCGUAAGGAAUCGGUUCGUUUUGUUAAAACAUCAGAAACUAAUUUGAUGAAUAUUGAGUUCAUAUUUGACUCGGAUGCCAAAUGUGCAAUCACCAUCUACUACUUUUGCUCGGAGGAAGUUACUCCAAAUGGUGUUAUUCUGACUCCACGUGACCCAUCGCUUAAUUCUGAAACAUAUCGAUAUAAACGCGGCGUUACGCAAUCAUUUUCCCAGCCCACACACAUGUUUAAUCCCAAUCUGUAUUCGGAAGAAGAUCUUUGUUACAACCCAGAGAAAGAUUGCUAUCCAAUAGCGAUUCACUGUGUUGUUGAUGAAGGUGCUGAAGGUAAACAGUUGCGACAAUCACAUACGACCAUUUGCGUAGUGGAUCAUCAUGCUGACGGCACAUACGCGCUGCGAGCAUUAAAACAAAAAAUAUUUGUCGAUGGUCUUUGUUACCUGUUGCAGGAAAUCUAUGGGAUUGAAAAUAAAGCGAUCAACAAGCCAACGAUCGAUGAUGAUAGUGAUGAGAAUGGAAGUGAAUGUGUGAUAUGUAUGAGCGAAACUAGAGAUACUCUGAUACUACCUUGUCGUCACUUGUGUUUAUGUAAUUCGUGCGCUGACUCACUUCGAUAUCAAGCUAAUAAUUGUCCGAUAUGCCGAGCUCCAUUCCGAGCCCUUCUGCAAAUUCGUGCCGUUCAAAAGAGUUUGAAUACAACGAUUACGAACGCAGCUGCUCAGAAUCCUUCAGAUCCUAACUGCGAACACAUUCCCCCUGGAUAUACUCCUGUAUCUUUGAUUGAAGCAUUGAAUGGCCCUCCUGCGAUCACAGGACGAUCUCUUUCUAACGAUGGAUCAGAUACGUUGGACGCGGUUCAAGCCAUUGAAAUUCUCAAUAAAUCCCGAGAUAAAAACGAUAAACAAAGCACUCCCCGUGGUGAGAAACGUUCCAAGGAUAAAAAUUCUACUCCAGCAGAGUUUCGAAUGUCUGUGCUGCUAACAAAAGAGAAUGAGGAGACUCCAGCUGACACGGGUAGCAAACAACAGAAUGGAGUCGUACGCAAUGAUUGCGAGAAAGCGUCAAAAGAGAAGCUAUGCCAUAGUCGAAAUCAUAGCCGAGAAAGCGUUCAGAUAAUCAAUGAGCGCAACAAUUCAAAAAGAACGCAAUUAGAAGGGGAUGAAGACAGUGAUAAUGAAAAUUUGUCACCUCUUUUAAAUUCACAAACGCUGAAAGUGUCAAAUUCAGCUUUGCAUAUUGACGGCGUUGAAGAAUCAAUCGAUGACACCGACACAGACGCCGACGAUACAUCAGAAAAGGCUUCACAACGGCGAAUUUUCAAAAGCAAGAGUCAUGCAUGGCCAAUCACUAUUUUUUGUUAGUUUUCAAUGAAAUAAAUUCACACGAAACAUAUGAACUUCUAAUAAAAUGCACUUAAAAUCUUUUCGCGUACUUCGAACACAAGUCUAAGGGCAGUGAAAAGACAAUUUCAAAAGAAAACGUAACUGUUAAAGCGCCAUCAACCACGACCAUAGCAUCAACAGCUCUCAAGGAAAACAUCAACUCCUUACCAGAUAGUCCAAUCAGUGGCAAUUCUUCGUCAACCCGAAGUUC
This 1947-nucleotide unclassified non-coding RNA is filed under the name Hermetia illucens (black soldier fly). RNAcentral describes it as "probable E3 ubiquitin-protein ligase MGRN1, transcript variant X6". The record is from RNAcentral. Lineage: Eukaryota; Metazoa; Arthropoda; Insecta; Diptera; Stratiomyidae.